RNAcentral lists this long non-coding RNA (480 nucleotides) under Homo sapiens (human). RNAcentral's name for it is "non-protein coding CHKB-DT:39". Lineage: Eukaryota; Metazoa; Chordata; Mammalia; Primates; Hominidae. The record is from RNAcentral.
GAGGAACUGCCCGGGCGCGGUAGCGUACGGGAAGACCGGAGAGGAGCUGCGUCUCUGCCCCGUGGGAGCCGGCGGGGCGGCGGGGCGGCGGCUGCAGCUGCAGCUCCGGCGCGAGGGCUCCCUUGCCGGGCCCUCUUCCCCGACCCCUGGGGCGCUCCGACAAGGAAGAGCCGUCCAGCGCGCGUCCGUCCUGAGCGUGGGCCUAGAACCAAUUACAGAGUCAAACCCAAGAGCCGAAGAAAGUGAAGACUCGCAGCUUGCCGCAGCCCCCUCCUCGGCCUGCGCACCUCCCAUUGAGGGCGUCCUGAUUUAAACGCGUGCCUCCUGCAUUUCUGCUUCUGCCCCAGGCUAGAGCGGCGACCAGGAACGCUGGACCCACAGAGAUCUGUGGCAAUGUCUGUCGAACCAUGGUGUUCUUUGGGGCAUCUGACUAGAGUAUUGUUUGAUAACCAGAAAGAAAUCAAAAAUUGGUGAUCACAA